This 24-nucleotide microRNA is filed under the name Ananas comosus (pineapple). RNAcentral's name for it is "microRNA s1050_c133a". The record is from RNAcentral. Lineage: Eukaryota; Viridiplantae; Streptophyta; Magnoliopsida; Poales; Bromeliaceae.
AAGCCGGCCGGUGGUGGUGGAGGA